GCAACCACGCCGCGCCCUGCCGGUCCCCCACAGUGUAUGACUCCUUUUACCGCUACGAGGAUGGACUAGACAACCCACGCACCGCCUGGUGCCGCCGACUCUGCGCCGGGCCCAUGAGGUCAUGGACCUCGCGGCCCUGGAGGCCCUGGUAGCCGCCGCGCCAUGCCAGGCCGUCAGCGCGCCGGACGCGCCGACAGCCUGGAAUGGCGCGCCAUUCCAGGGCCGCCUCUAGGGCCGCGAGGUCCAUGACCUCAUGGGCCCGGCGCAGAGCCGGCUGGACCAGCCGGGGCGUGGGGUCAUCGAGGCCACCGGCAUAGCGGUAGAAUGAUUCGUAUAACCUAGGGCGCCGGCAGGGCGCGGCGGUGUAGUUGC
This 372-nucleotide microRNA precursor is filed under the name Chlamydomonas reinhardtii. Its description in RNAcentral is "miR1166 stem-loop (cre-MIR1166)". The record is from miRBase by way of RNAcentral. Lineage: Eukaryota; Viridiplantae; Chlorophyta; Chlorophyceae; Chlamydomonadales; Chlamydomonadaceae.